ACACGGGGGGCGCAAGCGUUAUUCGGAAUUAUUGGGCGUAAAGGGCGUGUAGGCGGUUUUAUCGGUCAGAUGUGAAAGCCCAGGGCUCAACCCUGGACGUGCAUUUGAAACAGUAAGACUUGAGUACGGUAGAGGAAAGCGGAAUUCCUGGUGUAGAGGUGAAAUUCGUAGAUAUCAGGAGGAACACCGAUGGCGAAGGCAGCUUUCUGGACCGAAACUGACGCUGAUGCGCGAAGGCGUGGGUAGCGAACAGGAUUAGAUACCCUAGUAGUCC
Molecule: ribosomal RNA, 274 nt
Filed under: uncultured bacterium
Lineage: Bacteria
Description: partial 16S ribosomal RNA
Rfam family: Bacterial small subunit ribosomal RNA
Source: RNAcentral